AUUGAACGCUGGCGGCAUGCUUUACACAUGCAAGUCGAACGGUAACAGGCCGCAAGGUGCUGACGAGUGGCGAACGGGUGCGUAAUGCAUCGGAACGUGCCCAGUCGUGGGGGAUAACUACUCGUAAGAGUAGCUAAUACCGCAUACGAUCUAUGGAUGAAAGCGGGGGACCGUAAGGCCUCGCGCGAUUGGAGCGGCCGAUGUCAGAUUAGGUAGUUGGUGGGGUAAAGGCUCACCAAGCCAACGAUCUGUAGCUGGUCUGAGAGGACGACCAGCCACACUGGGACUGAGACACGGCCCAGACUCCUACGGGAGGCAGCAGUGGGGAAUGUUGGACAAUGGGCGCAAGCCUGAUCCAGCAAUGCCGCGUGCAGGAAGAAGGCCUUCGGGUUGUAAACUGCUUUUGUACGGAACGAAACGGCUCUGGUUAAUACCCGGGGCUAAUGACGGUACCGUAAGAAUAAGCACCGGCUAACUACGUG
RNAcentral lists this ribosomal RNA (482 nucleotides) under uncultured bacterium. RNAcentral describes it as "partial 16S ribosomal RNA". It matches the Rfam family "Bacterial small subunit ribosomal RNA", at positions 30 to 507 of the family's 1533-position model. The record is from RNAcentral.